UCUAAAAAGUAAAUUUUGUAAUUUUUUAAAAUAACAUAAAGUCUAUCAAGUAGGUAUAAAAUAAAUGGUUAAAAUCAAACGGCGUUCUAUAAAUGGAUGAUCGGAUCCUUCAAUUUAAAACCGGAGUUAUUAAUCCUUAUCUAGGCAGUGAAUAGAAUUUUCUAUCAAAAAUUCAACUUAUUCCAAUUCUUUUAUACUGUUAGACUAGGAAGUAUUCCAUUCCGACCGUUAAAAAUUAUCAAUUUUGUGAUAUUUUAAUCGUAAGGUAAAUGAUGUUGAAAAAUAAUAAAAUUUAAUUUUUAGAAGUUUUAAAAUUUUUAGAUAAUGUUUAACGGUAUGGAUCGUCGAUUCGAAAGCUCUAUCAUCGAAAAUGACUUAUGAGUACGAGGACAAUCGUACUUAUAAGAGUAUAGUAGCUGGACUCGUAGCUGGACU
Molecule: long non-coding RNA, 435 nt
Filed under: Ananas comosus (pineapple)
Lineage: Eukaryota; Viridiplantae; Streptophyta; Magnoliopsida; Poales; Bromeliaceae
Description: long non-coding RNA (ACOM_LNC020680)
Source: RNAcentral